CUCUGCUAUUUAAGGUGAUUGAGGCUGUAUUUGUUGUAGAGCAGUAGGCCUACGCAGAUAAUAACAGACAAGGCCUCUAACACAGUCAAAAACAAAUACGUAAGUCCUAGGAGCACGAUACAUGGUGCUUAUGACUUUCCUAAAGCCGGAUAGAGAAACACACCUUGUUGGAGGAUCAACAUGUCCAACUCACGGCGCUUUUCUUUCGCUAACAAGUCGCAGACACCAUGUUUUUCUAUAGGGACGUGUCGGAUGCCAACAUAUUUUCUCCAUAAAGCCAACACUGCCGAAGAUGUAAGGCGCAGAUAAAGUGCAUGGAAAGCAUUAUGGGACUGUGAGAUUUACAGAACUGGAGUCAGGGAGGAAUGUUUCUGCCCCGUCGCCUUCCAAGAGCAACAACACACCGCGUGCCCGCCUUGCCAGAAGCGGGCGCUUUUCGCGUCUCGGGUGGGUUGGUGCGUGUGAGGGGAGCCAUGGGGAUGCGAAAGGCCAGAUAAUGACUAUGAAUGGCAUUUUGUUUCAUCAAGACGACAGUAUAAAUCCACUUUAGACUGUCUGGCUCUAUCAAACUAAAUUGGACUCAGCAUAAUUCAACUGUAUUCAGUAUAGAGAAGUGUGUAGGUUAAGAUGGCCUGCUAUCCCCUAAUGUUGCCUUCCCAUCAACAACCUGAUGUCCCAUUCUAGACCUAAGGUAACCAGAGGGUUGCAGGUUUAAAGCACAGUUGGGACAUCACUAUGUCCUUUUGAGUGAGAUACUUUGCUCGGGUAAAUAUUUAUCCAGCUGUAUAAAUGGGUGUUGUGUGGAAUGUGUAAACUGUGCUGGCGCUGCCCUGGACAGGGUCUAAUGCCAGGUACAGGCAUAAUAAUACCUUACUGUGCUCUGAGAUACCAGUCAGUCACUAUGCGAACAGACAUGAAUUGGGAAAUUU
Molecule: long non-coding RNA, 929 nt
Filed under: Salmo salar (Atlantic salmon)
Lineage: Eukaryota; Metazoa; Chordata; Actinopteri; Salmoniformes; Salmonidae
Description: lncRNA (ENSSSAG00000093505.1)
Source: RNAcentral